Molecule: non-coding RNA, 395 nt
Organism: Biomphalaria pfeifferi
Lineage: Eukaryota; Metazoa; Mollusca; Gastropoda; Planorbidae
Source: the annotation of a GenBank genome assembly
AAGCAGUCUAAGUCCCAUCAUUUGUGUUGACCUUAAAUUAAGGUCAAGUAUGUCAAAAACAAUACAAGAACAAAUAUGUACAAGUAGAGUUGAACUGAAUGCAUGCUAAAUAUUCCAACAGUAGUGAAAACUUUAAAAAAACGCUAAUCUAUUUAUACAUGGAAGGUUACAAUGAAAUAAUUAUGACAAAUUUUUAAAAUCAAUUAUUCAAAAUGCAUACAAAAUACAAGAUUCGAAAAAAGUCUUUUUCAAAAAGCACAGUGUAUGAAUUCAUUUAUUUACAAUGAAUUGAUGUGUAAAAAAAUGAAUACUGCUUGGUUUGAUCUAUGACCUAUCAAAGCAAAAAUGACUUGAAAGCAAUCCAGUGAAGAAAAAUCACUCAAAUAAACCUGUGU